Suricata suricatta (meerkat) is the source of this 581-nucleotide long non-coding RNA. RefSeq lists it as uncharacterized. Lineage: Eukaryota; Metazoa; Chordata; Mammalia; Carnivora; Herpestidae. The transcript is spliced from 3 exons. The record is from RefSeq and is a predicted model, not a curated record.
UCCAUGACGACCACACCCCGCCCCACUGCGUCAUGGCUCUCCACCCCCGGAUCCUUGGCCAGAGUGGUCGGCCCCCCAGGGACGUCACAGACACCCACUUACAUCUGGCCCUGGUGGUCCCGUGUGUCCUGGGGGUCCCUGUCAGAGGAAGGACCAGAAAAAAGUGAAGCAAAAGUUUUACAAGGAAAAGAUGGAGAGAGACACCGUGGCCCACCAGAGCAGGUGCACGUUCCUGGGGGAGACACCUGGGCCGAGUGCCAGCCAGAGGACACCCGAGCACAGCGUUGAUUCGAAGGAGGAUUUUUAAAUUCAUCAUCCUGUGGAAGGUGUGACGGGGCUAACCGACCCCGGGGGGCGUCCGUACGUCCCGUCCAGUGACCCGCCCGGGCAGCACCCCCAGGACAGGACCAGAGAUGGGGCUACGUGCCUCCGGGGCUGGGAGUGCCGACCCCGGAGCUCAGAGAAACCCGGCACGAACAGGGCUGCCCAAGGUCGCGCCAGCCAUGGCCUGCAAAAUCUUUAGGGUUCCAGAAAAUUUCAUAAUGACAAAAUUAAAGAAAAACUUUGUGAAGUCAAAUUUA